This 9292-nucleotide long non-coding RNA is filed under the name Vigna radiata. RNAcentral's name for it is "long non-coding RNA (VRAD_LNC003977)". Lineage: Eukaryota; Viridiplantae; Streptophyta; Magnoliopsida; Fabales; Fabaceae. The record is from RNAcentral.
UAGAUUAUGUGCACUUAUUAUUACGUUAAUCGCUAACCUCAAACAUUAAGUUGACUUUGGCAUUAAAGUGUCUUAUCUAGGUACUCUUUGAAUGGUUUGGACGGACAUGAGCUUACUUUCUGGACAACUUUUGGACUUUCGACGACAUCUCACAACCCAUUGACCUCUACCCCACAAUUGAAACAUUUUGGCAUUCAUCGUGGGAUCAAAAAUCAACAAUUACUCUAUGAUGGCCACAAGGAACAUGACAAGUAACAUAGUAGCAGAGGAGUCAAAGAACCAACCUAACCAACUUGAAAUGCUUAUAGGAGCAUGCAGAAGCAGAUGAAAGAGAUGUAGUUGAGCAAAAGUUGAUAACCCUCCAGGUUGAGAAUGCAGCCACGCGUCAAGAGCAAAGUGCUUGACAUUCAGUGCCUCUUCCACCAACCCACUUAUCAGGUCGUGGGAAGACGCGUGCAAGACCGUCCAUGAAGCUAACACACGAGAGCCAACAGGGAUAACCGUCCAUGUAGACUAUCAAUACAGUAGGGCUGCUUCUUUUCUCACCGAGCAUAAUGGAAAUUCUCAUGCUUGAUAGGUGGAUCCCUUUAGCUUUUGAGAAGUGUGAUGACUCAAUCGAUCUCGACGAACUUAAUAGUCAUGAACUAGAUAACGUUCUACACCUCAAGUGACUAUGUUUGGAGUUGCCACCCAACUACACCGAUAGCUUUGUGCCCAUCCGCUUGCAAUUUUGGAUUCAAUUCCUCAUCAAUCGGUCACACCAUCUCAUGUCCCUUACUUUGACGAAUAUUAGGCAAGAGAAAGAGGAAUCACUAUGUGUUUUCAUGGAACAUUUUGGGAUGACUACAAGGCAUAUAAGGAACCUCAACCAUAAGGUAUCCUUGCACGACAUGAUCACAACCUUACGACCUGGAUCGUCUGUUGAUAGCCUUUGUAUGAGGUCAACCGUGAACAUGGAUGAAUUGAGGGAACGAGCCAUAGAGUUCAUGUGGGUUGAAGAUAUACGAGAUUUUUGCCGACAAAUGAAACAUGAUGCAUCAACAAGUGAAAAGAAGAAAGAAAGGAAACCGAAUGAGAAAAGAGACGACUCUCAACCUAAGGAGUUGCCGAAAGAGUUACGGUUUAAAUCAAGCCUAACACGAAUAUUAGACGUUUAUUGAUGAGUCAGCAAAACUAAGAAAUUGUUUAUUUAGCAUGUAAAAUAAAGGAAAAUAUAUCUUUAACAAUUUUUUUUGACAAUUUUCUAACAAUCGCUUAUAUGGCAGCUUGUGAUUGAUCCGUUUCAAAUAUACAAAUCAAUAAAAUAAUGACACAUAAUUUAUUGUUAAAAAAUUGUUAAAAUAUCAUGAUCCUAAAAUAAAUGAGGUCAUAUAUUAUUAUUACGGAAGUCAUAAAGAUGAUGUGAGAGAAAGCGAAGCAACAGAAGACCCGUCAAGAAGUUACCGGUGGAGUACUAUUUUACUAUUCCAUUAUUUGUGUAAUCAUAAUAAAAUGUUGAUGGAAAAUGUUCAUAACGAACCAGAAAUUCAAUAAGACAUAUCCGUGGUUGAAAUUUAGACACUUAUUCUCUUCAAAGUUUCGUGUCAUAGAAGCCUUAAAGUACAGAUAUAUAUAAAAGUUAUUUGUUAUAAAUCAAUUUGCAAUACAUAUAUAAGCAGUUAUAUCUAUGUGCUUCUGCACUGCAAAGUUUUCCUUCAAACCUUGUACUUCUCAUGGAUGAAGACCAUAAGGAGGAGGCGUAUAAAGAUAAUUAUGGCCUUGUGGAUCAUCAUAUGCUGUCUCGAGGAGGCGUCCAUCUUAAUGGUUCCCAAAACAAAAUAUUGGAACUUACUCAUCAGUAAUCAUAAUUAUUAUACUAAUUACACAUAAUUUUAAACUAAAACAAAGUAAAAGAACUUUAGAGAGAGAAGAAAAAAAGGUUAAAACUUGAAUCAGAAACAUUAACUGGUUCAAUUUCAAAAGAUUAAAUAAUAUUUUGUAGGAGUUGUGUGUUACUUACAUGGUUUGUGAUGAGAUUGGGACAUCCAAAAGGGCAACCUUGCUGCUGUCAGAUUCAUUGAUAAGAGUAGCACGAAUAUCAUAACCAUCUUUAAGAUAAGCUUCUUAAAGUAAGCCAUUUUAGUUUCAAAGGCAAAAGGUAUUCACAGAUUGCUGCAGUGUGUGAUGGUUGAAUGGAAUGUAGCAUGUAUUUAUACUAUACACACAAAGAGAGAUAAAAGAAAAAUCUUGUGCAUACUAUUCUAAUAUAUUUAUUAUUUUAAAUUUUAUUAUCUUAUAAAACCAAGAAUUUCAAACUUCAACAUGAACAAUUUCAAAUAUAUUUAUUGAUCUUAUCAAUAUCAUCUAACAUGUACUUGAGUUGAAAAUAUUAACAUCGUUUGUAUGAAUAAAAACAAAGUUUUAAAAUCUUUGUUCUUCUUAACCUUUAACAGGAAGUAAAAUGAAAUCACUUCACAUUCACAUAGUAUACUAUAAUAUAUGAGAUUACUGAUUUAUAAGUCAUCAGAAAUUACACAAUAACACAAUUUACUUCAUAGCAACUUGAUACUCUCAUUAGGCAAGGAAAACAAUUUUGAAACCCUCACCAGUAGCUCUGGAAAGGUCCAAAACCUUUAAAAUGACCUAAAAAACGUCCAAAAUUGAUACGCGGAACCUCAAAUUUAAUAUUUCCAAAACCUGAAAAAAAAAUAUGAAACUAGUGCGGUAGUACUUAGCGCCCAAAUGCUACCCUUCAACGUUAGAGCCACAAGAAUGGUGGCGCUCAAUGCCAGAAAAUUGGCGCUCAGCGUUAACGCUUCUGGAAUGAUGACGCUCAACGCUUGGUUUGAGCGCUCAGGAGCUAUUAGGAGAAACUUACCUUUUUUAAAUUAUUUUCUCCACUUACCCCACAACUUCUUAAGACUCUUAGGACCCUCUAGACCUUAAAGAAAAUAACUUAAAUUGACCCCUUGAGACCCAAUUUCACUCCUUCAAACUACCCAAACUCAAUUUUUACCAUUUCCAAUACUUAUGAUAGUUUACCUCCCUAACAGUUCUACACCAGAAUUUAUUCAUUUAACAGCCUAGACAAGUUCUAAUAGGUCUAAUAAUAUAUUCCUUCCAUAAGUCUUAAAUGACUUCACAACUGACCUUAAACUGUUGUUUCCCUCAACCAACCAAUUUUUCAAAAACUCACAUACUAAAACCAAUUAUUAUAAAUUGGUCUUAUCUCUAGUCGAUGUGGGAUUUCUAACACACCCUCUGCACGUCGAGGUAUAAACAUCUCGAGUUUGAUAGUAGAAUUAAUGGGUGGUCUGAUAGCGGCCCGUUAGGGGAAGGAACAAAAUGCCAUAUAGAUCUCGCUAGUUUAGGCUCCAAUCAUGACUCUCAUACUAUAUUAAGAAGUGGAUUUUAAAUCUAACUCAAUCCCACAAAACGGACUUUUAAGAUGAGAUUUAUACCCACUUAUAUAUAUUAUAAAUUGACUUUAUCUUUAGUCGAUGUAAAACUAUAUGUUUUUACUUUCAAUAGAAAAGAAAUAUUAGUGAUAUUAUGCAUAAGUAUAAUGACGUCUAGUAAUAUGUUUUUAAUUUGUGAAUGUUUUAUUUAAUUUUUUUUAUCAACUUCUCUCAGACUCACUUAAAAAUAAAUAAAUAAAUGAUCGUAUAAUCCAUAUAAAGUUUUUUAUCUACAUUUUCUAAAAUUUUAUUUUAAUUUAAUGCAAACUAUAUUUUUAACCUUUAUUAACCUCGGUAUUCUUAUAAUAUAGCUGGAAAAAGGUACAUCAAGAAGUUCCCAGUGCAGUACUAUAAUCAAUUAUUUACAAUACGUAUAUAAACAGUAAUAAAUAUAUAUGCUUCUGCUCUGCAAAGUUUUCCUUCAAACCCAAUGCUGUACUCUCUGUCUUGUGGAUCAUCUCCUCUAUAUGCUUCUGCACUGCAAAGUUUUCCUUGAAAAACCCAAUAUUGUAAUCUCUGACUUCUCAUGGAUGACCAUAAUAAUUAUGGCCUUCUGGAUCAUAUGAUGCCUCAAGGAUGCGUCCAUCUUAAUGAUUCCCAAAACAAAAUAUUAGAACUUACACAUCAGUAAUCAAAAUUAUUAUACUAAUUACACAUAAUUUUAAACUAAAACAAAACAAAAGAACUUUGGAGAGAUACGAAAAAAAAUAGUUAACACUUGAAUCAGAAACAUUAAGCGGUUCAAUUUCAAAAGAUUAAACGAUAUUUUAUAGGAAUUAUGUAUUAUUUGUUAGAAUACAAACAAAGUUUCACAUCGAGUAAAAGAAGACUCAAACAUGAAUUUAUAUAUAUAUAUAUAUAUAUAUAUAUAUAUAUAUAUAUAUAUAUAUAUAUUUUUAUUGAUAUAAAAAUAAAUCUGUAAAAGCUUGAAUUUUACGAAGAUAUGUGUAUAUCAAACCUCUCCUACGUAUUAAAUAAUAUUUUACAGGAGUUGUGUGUUACUUACAUGGUUUCUGAUGAGAUUCGGACAUCCAAAAGGGCAACCUUGCUGCAGCCAGAUUCAUUGAUAAGAGUAGCACAAAUAUCAUAACCAUGUUUAAUAAGAUAAGCUUCUUAAAGUAAGCCAUUUUAGUUUCAAAGGAAAAAGGUAUUGCUGCAGUGUGUGAUGAUUCAAUGGAAUAUAGCAUAUAUUUAUACUAUACACACAAAGACAGAGAUAAAGAAAAAUCUUGUGCAUACUAUUCUAAUAUAUUUAAUAUUUUAAAUUUUAUUAUCCUAUAAAAGCAAUAAUUUCAGACUUAUACUUCAAAUAAGUUAAAAAUAUUAGCAUUGUCUGUAAGAACAAAAACAAAAAGUUUAUUGCGACACACUUGAUACCUCAAAAGUAAUAUAAAAAAUAGUUUAAAUACAUUUAAUAAAUGAUAACUUUAACGAUAUUAUAUCAACAAACUAUAUCUCGGAUAAGAUUAUUAAUAUAAACAAUAUUAUUUCGAUAUACUUUAAGUCCAAAUAAUGACGUUGUUUAUUUAUUUUGUGUUAUACCAUAUUUUAUCAAAUUCAAUAAGAACAAUUAAAAAAAUAAUAUAUAUUAAAAUAAAUAUAAAAUAAAAUAUAGAUUCAUACGAGCAAAUAUAGCACGGUGAUAAAAUACUUUUAUAUUGAUCAAAAGAUAUAAAUGUUUAUAAAAUUUAAAAAAUUUGGUAAAAAAGACUAAAACCAUAGUUUUCUAAAGUUGAAGGACUAAAUUGUACUAUAGUUUGAAAGAGGGACUGAACACAAAAACGGCCAAUAAUUGGGGGACGAAAAACAUAUUUAACCCUUUUUUUUAUAAUGGAUGGCAAACCAAAGUAACCCUUUUCAAAUUAUUAUUUCUAAUAAACAUUUUCUUAUAGAUAAUUUUUUUUAUCAGCUCUAUGGAUUGUAUAAAGAAAAUAAUAGAUUAUCAUGUGCCAUAUUAUCUUAAUUUAGAAAACUAACAUGUCCAUAUUUAAAUCACAUCUCAUAAAAGAUAUAGAUUUUUUUUCUUGAUAACAUUUCAACAAUAUAUAUAUAUAUAUAUAUAUAUAUAUAUAUAUAUAUAUAUAUAUAUAUAUAUAUAUAUUUUAUUUUUUUUUAUAAAAACGACAAAACGAAAGACUUGUAAGAAGACUUGAUACAAAAGCUACAAAAAACGUCCUUAUUCAUCUUUUAACAUUUUGCAAAGACCUUGACUUAAUAAAAAGGGUACCGUCAUUAACUUCUUAAAUCUAUUACUCUAUAAAAUUUUAGUCACCACAUAAUUUUCUUCCCCUGUAUAAAUCUAUACCGGUACACGAAUCAAUAUAUUUUCUUAAAUUAUUAUAGAUAUUUUGCAAAUUAAAAUGAAUAGAAUCUAUAUUUUUUUACUUCAAGUUUAAUGUUGGUACCUAAGGUAGUGUUCUUUUAGUUUGGGUUUCUUUUUUUUUCAUUCAUUUUGUUUUUAAAAUACAUCUUAAAAGGUUAAUAGAGAUAGUGUACAUAAAUUAUUAUUGACAUCACAUCUGAUGUAAUGUGAAAUUAUUAAAAAUAUCAAAAUAAGUCAUAGUAAAGAUAUAAGUAGUAGGAAGAUUUGUCUUAAAAAAUCUUUAGAAUCAUUUUUUUUUAUAGAUGAAACAAUAUUUCGAUUUCAAGUUCCUUGAGAUAAUAUCAUUAGGAUUAAUCAUCAUAUUAAUGGUAUUGACUAUUAAACUCACUGUUGCAUCAUAAUUUUUAUCCUCAUAUAACUAAGAAAAGAUGUAUUGAAAUUGUUUUUGGCCUUAUCUCUUAAGAGAUGUAAUAUUUAUAAUAUAUAUAAAAUAAAUAAAGAUUCAAGUUUUAGUAUUCUAUUCUAAUUUCUAACAAAUGAGUGGAAUAAUGUGAGAAAUUGGAAAAAUAAAUUUAUAAAGUAGUUCAUGUUGAUAAGUCGAAAACUUUAUGCUAAAUAUUAAUAGUUUUUUAAAAAUCUAAUUUAAUUUUAUAAAAUCGAUUUAUAAAUACUUAUUUUAUAUAUUAUAAAUUAGUUUUACCUUUAGUUAUUUUAUAUAUUAUAACUUAGUUUUAUUUUGCUCAAUAAUUGCUCAAGAUUUCCAAUAAAUAUUGUAACUUUUCUUACUUUUAAUAAAUAAUUUCAUAAAUAUGGUAACUUUUUCUUACUUUUAAUAAAUAAUUUCAUACGUGGGGUAUAUGCAUUAUAAUGUAAUGUAAUAUAGAACUAUGCAUGUUAACAAUCAUGUACUAAAUUUGGGAUAAAUAUGAGAGUUGAAAGGAAAGUUUAAUUACAGAAAAUAAUCACUAAAAGAAUAUUGAUGUUAAUAAAAUCGAUAAAAUAUUUAUCACAAAAAGAUAAUAUAACAUUAAGAUGUGCACUAUAAAGCAGAAGAGAGUAAAUUUUUAAAAUAUUCAUGCAUGAAAAUAGAUUAUAUUUCUUUUUAAUAUAAAGUUGCAUCUUAUUUGAGUUUAUUAGAUAAUAAAUAUAUAUUAAAACAAGUUUGUCUAAGCAAACAUUGUUUUGAAGUUUAACAUAUGUCUAAAUGAAAUAAUGUUUAAUUGUUUAGGAUAAAACAUAAGAAACGCUAAAUGCUACACUUUAAGUAUCCUAAACUAUAUAAGAGUCUCUAACUAAGACUAGUGUCUAAAGUAUGUUUGACCGUCUAACUAAGAAUAGUGUCUAAAGUAUGUUAAAGACAAAAUUGUCUAAGCGCCAUAAAAAUUCUCAUGUUUUAAAAUUUAAUCAAAUAAUAUUAAAAAAAAUAAUAAUAAGAAAAUAACUUGGGGUGAAAACAAAAGACUUAGAGCCUGAACCCCAAACAUACACAACCUAGAACCAAAUAAACAUAGAAAAACUUAGAUAAACACUUAGGUAUUAAGAAAUAGGAAAAACAUCUAGGUUAAAACACUCAGACGCAUGACUAAACUUUGUUGAGCCUAAAACGUCUAAGAAAGAUUGAGUUAAACGAUCAAUGAUUUUACUACCUGAUGGAAUAAGUAUUCAGCUUAUCUCAAAAAACAAAAUAGGUCAAGACAAUGUCUCUGACAAAACAUAUAUAAAAGAGAGCUUAAGCAACCUAAACAUUAUCUGUCUAAAAAGAGACAAAAGCUAAACAAACAUUUAUUUGACUAAACGAUGCAAUGAGCUUAAAAAAUACCCCAUCUUAUGAUGAAGUGUAUAUAUAUAUAUAUAUAUAUAUAUACACGUUUGAUAUCUUUAGAGAAAAGAAAUUAAUUGUAAAAUGUUAACUAACGGUAAAUGUUAACUAACGGUAAAUGUUAACUAAUGGAUUAAACUAGUAUAAAAACAAGUGUGUCUUGUUUUUCAAAGAUUUUCCAUUAAAAGUUUUAAAAAAUUAAGCGUUUAACAUCUAUUACAAAUAGUCUUAUUCCCGAAAAAAUAAUAUUAUAAAUAAUCUAUAUUAAACCAUUUUGUUAGUAGGGUGAUUACAAGUAAAAUAUCACAUGAAAUAAAACAUAAUAUUUUAAAUAUUUGAUAAUAUUAAGACAUAAAAUCUUAUUUUAAAUGGUUUAGACCAAUUCUUGUGGACGACAAAUCGCUACAUAUUUGACUUUGAACAACUGCUCACCCAGAAUAACAAAAUGCCGACUACAUUAACAUUCCUCAUACUUUAACUUGUUUCUAAACUCCAUUUUUCAUGAAUAUGACAAUAAAUAAUACUCGUUGAGAUUCUCGAGUCUGGAUUUUUAAGGGAAGAAGGGAAACAGUACUGAUAUUAUAUAUAAAUUUGACUGGCACCUAGUAAUAUGUUUUUAAUUUGUGAAUGUUUUUCUUUUUAUCAACUUCUCUUAUACUCACUUAAAAAUAAAUAAAUAAAUUAUCUGAUAAUCCAUAUAAAAAUUUUUAUUUACAUUUUCUAAUAAAAUUUUAUUUAAAUUUAUAUAUAAACUAUAUUUUUAACCUCUAUUAAGCUUUCUAUUUUUAUAAUAUAGCUGAAACAAGGCACAUCAAGAAGUUCAUUAUUUUAAUGUAUUAAAAACAUGAUAUAUAAAUAACUUUAUAUAGAAGAGAAAAAUAAAAAAAAUAAAACAUAACUAAGUCAAAUACAAAUACAAAUUUGUAACUAUUACAAUCAAAUUCAAUUUCCGAAAAAUCUAUACUAAUAAUAUAUUAAUAUGAAAUUGAGUUUAAGAAAAAUAUAUGCUAAUAAUCUAUAUGGUUAUGGCCUGCAAAGUUUUCCUUCAAACCCAAUAUUGUACUCUCUGACUUCUCAUGGAUGAUGACGAUUAUAAUUAUGGUCUCGUGGAUCAUCUGCUCUCAGAAGCCGUCCAUCUUAAUGGUUCCAAAAACAAAAUAUUAAAACUUACUCAUCACUAAUCAAAAUUAUUAUACUAAUUAUACAUAAUUUUAAACUUAAACAAAAUAAAAGAACUUUGAAGAGAGUGUUAUUAGGAGGAGGUUCCCUACACACAUAAAACUCCAUGGUAAGACAUUGUUCGCUUUAGACUAAGCUGUCAUGAAUUUGUUUUUGGUACCAAAAACAAAACUGUGAGAACUUGACCUAAAACGGACAAUGUCUUACCAUGUGUAGAGUUCUAUAUGUGUGGCGAACCUUCUCAAAGAGAAGAAAAAAAUAGUUAAAACUUCAAUUUCAAAAGAUUAAAUAAUAUUUUGUAGGAGUUGUGUUACUUACAUGUUUUCUGAUGAGAUUGGGACAUCCAAAAGGGCAACCUUGCUGCUGUCAGAUUCAUUGAUAAGAGCAGCACAAAUAUCAUAACCAUGUUUAAUAAGAUAAGCUUCUUAGAGUAAGCCAUUUUAAUUUCAAAGGAAAAAGGUAUUCCCAAAUUGCUGCAAUGUGUUAGGGUUCAAUGGAAUGUAGCAUAUAUUUAUACUAUACACACGAAGACAG